GACGAACGCUGGCGGCGUGCUUAACACAUGCAAGUCGAACGGAAAGGCCCUGCUUUUGUGGGGUGCUCGAGUGGCGGACGGGUGAGUAACACGUGAGUAACCUGCCCUUGACUUUGGGAUAACUUCAGGAAACUGGGGCUAAUACCGGAUAGGAGCUCCUGCUGCAUGGUGGGGGUUGGAAAGUUUCGGCGGUUGGGGAUGGACUCGCGGCUUAUCAGCUUGUUGGUGGGGUAGUGGCUUACCAAGGCUUUGACGGGUAGCCGGCCUGAGAGGGUGACCGGCCACAUUGGGACUGAGAUACGGCCCAGACUCCUACGGGAGGCAGCAGUGGGGAAUAUUGCACAAUGGGCGGAAGCCUGAUGCAGCAACGCCGCGUGCGGGAUGACGGCCUUCGGGUUGUAAACCGCUUUCGCCUGUGACGAAGCGUGAGUGACGGUAAUGGGUAAAGAAGCACCGGCUAACUACGU
Molecule: ribosomal RNA, 467 nt
Filed under: uncultured bacterium
Lineage: Bacteria
Description: partial 16S ribosomal RNA
Rfam family: Bacterial small subunit ribosomal RNA
Source: RNAcentral